UUUUCAAUUUAACAUGUAACAAAUUUAUUUCUUUCCUAGGUACACAUAUUCAAUAAAUAUCACAGCUCAAUAUAUAACAAUAUAGACAUUUACAAAUCAUGUAACAAAAAAAAACAUCAUGCAGCUAUAAACAUUUUUAAAAUUAAAAAAAUAAUAAUUUUUUUUCUAUUUUUUUUUCUUUAUAACAAAAGUUGAUUACCGUAAACAUUUUUUUCAUAGUUAUCAAAAUAUUUGUUCAAAAAUCAGGCAUUUGCAAUACUAAUUUCAGUUAACAUUUAUACCCUGUACAGUCUAUCCAACUCAAAGUAAGAGUUUGGUAUGUGUUUAUACAUGUAUGAGUAACAAACUAUUCCAUGGAUAAUGAAUCAAUUGUUCAUUUAAUAAUAAGAUUUACAGUACCUGUCCAUGUAUACACUUCUAAUAAAGUUGUUUCAAUCAGAGUAAACAAGAUUCUGAAAACACAGCUUUAAUUUAUUUUAAGAAAGCUUCCUUGUCAAGGAAAAUCUCAAAACAGCUUUUUCUAAUAAUUUUUGAAAAAUACAGAAAAAAACAAAUGAAAGUUGAAAAUAAAACAAAACUGAAUAAUGGGCAUUUGAUGAAUUGACAAAGUCAUUGAAGCAUAACUCUUCAUAACCAGAUGCUCCGCAGGGCACAGCUUCAUACGACCGUAGAGGUCGAACCCUGAACGGUUGGGGCUAGUACGGACACAACAUUCAAGCUGGAUUCAGCUCUAAAUUUGGAUUGUGAUUAAAAGUAGUUGACACAUCAUGGUUUCUGACACAGAAUGAAUGUGGUCUAAUGAACUUAAAUUUUGUAUUGCUUUUGAGCAAUUCACUAUGCUGUUGAAUAUUAAUCCUCUAAAAAAAAAAUAUUUGAAGAAAUUUUCUUUUUAAUUUCUGAAAUCUGAAAUGAGAAAAAUUGACCUCCCCCCCCCCCAAUUUUUUUUUCACCUCCCCCUUUCCCUUAUUCGUAAAAAUAUUCUUAAUUCAAAUUCUAAUGGAGUUUGCAACAAUAACUCCUCAUUUAAAUACAUCAUAAAAAUAUUAAAAUAUAAAAUGUCAUACAGUCUAUGGUCAGGUUGUUGUCUCUUUGGCACAUUCCCCAUUUCCAUUCUCAAUUUUAUGGUUCAAAUUAAUAUUAAUUAAUAGAAACUUCUAAAAAAAUAAAUGGGGAAUGUGUCAAAAGGGACACAGAUGAUGCCCCCACUAGCGUAUAACGAUAUAAAGGGACAUAACUAAAGAACUGUAAAAGUGAAGCUGCCAAAAAUUGAACUUUAACUGAUUUUAGAGGUAAUAAGCAUUAUAUACACAUUUCAUUAAAUUUAGUUGAGACAAACUUAAGCUGAGGACAGAAACUAAAAUAUUCUUCAAUUUUUCCAUUUGUAAAGGGACAUAACCCUAGAAUGGUAAUCAAAGUGCUUGUAAUUACUGAAUGGUAAAGACUGCUUUAAUUUAUCAGUUGUUAGUAAAGUGAAUAUUGCAUUGUACAUUGUAUAUGCAGCAUUGAUUUAAGUUGAUUCAACUACUAUACUGGACAAAGAAAGAUAACUCCAAUUCAUUGUCUUGAAACUAAAAAAUGCUUGUUUUUGACCCCUUUUUGGUCCUUUAUUUCUAGACUGUUUGCCCCAUAACCCACAAAAUAUAUAUCCCAAUCUUCUACUUAUGGUAUUUAACAUUGUGGUACAAUUUCAGAACAACUGAAAUACUUAUACACAACUUUUUGUACUGACACUAGAUAAAUGCUUUUUUUGGGACCCUUUGCGUCCUUAAUUCCUAAACCUUAGGGACCAUAACCCCCAAAUUCAAUCCCAAGCUUCCUUUUGUGGUAAUAAACAUUGUGUUAAAAUUUUUAUUGAUUUCUGUUUACUUAUACUAAAGUUAUCCAGAAACCAUCCGUCUUUGGACGAGGCUGACGACCACGACAUGAUACCAAUAUACGACCGCAAAAAUUUCAGCGGUUGUUUAAAAAUUAGUCCUCUCUGUUUAUGCUGGAUGCGUCUAACAUGUAAAUGUUAUGUGAAUUGAAACUUGAACAAAAACAAUUAUAUACAUAUGAAAACUAUCAAUUAUUUCAAAAAUAAAAAAUUUACAAAGUACACAAAAAUUAAUAAAAUUGAUAUCUGUUAUAUUUCAUGAACAUGUGCACCAUAAAUAGCAUUUUCAGAAGAUAAUGUAUAGUAUUAUUAUUGUAUACACCAUAGACAUGACAUUUAACAAAUAAUAUAUUGGAAAUAUAAUUCUGAAAAACAGCUAUAAAAACUAAAUAAUACUGUCGCAAGAGUAAUGCAAUGUUGACAUUUUACUCCAGACUUUCAUUUCAACAAUAAUAUUAUUUUUUGCAAUUUACAAUAACUCUCGCAUCAUUUAAUAAUAUAAAUAUAUUUUUUCCUAUUUUCAAAAACUAAAAGGCAGAUAUGAUGUGCAAAUCAUAUUUGCAUGAUAUACAUGAUAUAUAUGAUGUGUGCAAAUCAUAUUUGCAUAUACAGUUUGUCACCAUAAACACAUCUCUAGAUAUGACACAAUUACAUGUACAAUGUAAUUGUGAUACCUGUAAGGCCAUUCAUAUUUUCAGGUACACAAUGGAAUUGUAAAAACUUUAAUCUAUAAUUUCAAUAACGCUUAAUUCAAAAAACAUGAAUACUAUGGGAUAUUUGUAAAUUUUCAUACUUCCCAAAAAAUGGCUUACUAAUUUCAUGUCUUUGAGAGAAAAAUCAUCAAAAUGAUGGACAAAAACAAUUUAUAUCACUGACUUUAUUUGAGGGUGGCAAAAAUCAACUUUUGAGAAAGGAGUAGAGGACUAGUGGUGACAAGUUAUUUCUCAAGUGGCAAGCAUGUAUGGUGUCAUCCUGGUUUGCCCACUUUUAAUUACAUGUAAUACAUGUAAACAUAGAGGGAAUUGUUGUUUUAACAAUUAUAGUUUAUUUCUGAAUUAUAGUCAUAUUUUUUACCUUUUAUUUUACCUGUAAAAUUAAAAAAGAAUAUUUUAUUCUGCUAUUAAAUCAAGGAAAAUGUGCAAAAAUUUUCUAUAUUUUAUAUGUACAUGUAUUUGGCAGGAUAAUGUAUUUUAUUAAAAAAAA
Molecule: long non-coding RNA, 3076 nt
Filed under: Mytilus galloprovincialis (Mediterranean mussel)
Lineage: Eukaryota; Metazoa; Mollusca; Bivalvia; Mytilida; Mytilidae
Source: RNAcentral